GGGGGCAGGAGGUUCGACUCGAGCGAAGCGAGAGAACGUUGCGUCAGCAACGGCCCGCAGGGCGAGUCACGCAGUGGCGAGUCAUCCUCUAUCACCGACCA
RNAcentral lists this small RNA (101 nucleotides) under Salmonella enterica. Its description in RNAcentral is "partial RtT sRNA". It matches the Rfam family "RtT RNA", at positions 31 to 130 of the family's 130-position model. Rfam says of the family: This family represents a bacterial cis-regulatory element known as RtT RNA. The exact function of RtT is unknown although it is thought that it may be involved in changing the cellular response in relation to amino acid starvation. RNAcentral also lists the same sequence under 1 other name. The record is from RNAcentral. Lineage: Bacteria; Pseudomonadati; Pseudomonadota; Gammaproteobacteria; Enterobacterales; Enterobacteriaceae.